This 311-nucleotide long non-coding RNA is filed under the name Prunus persica (peach). Its description in RNAcentral is "long non-coding RNA (PPER_LNC008057)". The record is from RNAcentral. Lineage: Eukaryota; Viridiplantae; Streptophyta; Magnoliopsida; Rosales; Rosaceae.
UGACGUACACUUGUACAAGUGGUCAAAGGUGACAAGCUGAGAUUGCGCCAGGUGUCCUCUUGCAAUUAAUUUGAAGUUUUUAGUGCAAAAAGCUUAGAAAAAAGGUAAUAAAUAGUAGGAAAAUCCUAAAAAUGCCCCGAAAAUUACCCUGGCCUCCUUCUGACGUUAUAAAAAUAAGGGAAUCUAUAAAUCAUCCGUUUUGCAAUGAAAAAAUCCAAAUUAUUUUACAUAACUCACUUUCCUCUUAACCCUAAGUAUAUAUGUUUGUUAACUUUAACUUCAAUAACCUACUUCAACAAGCAUCUCCCGUU